ACUGGGUGGGCUUUCAGGUCCCUUCCAAGCUAAGCCAUUCCGUAGUUCUAUGUUUGGGCUCACUCACCUUCUUGGGCAGCCCCAGAUGUGACUCUAUGAGAUAUUUUCCAAUGGACAUUGGAUGGAGUUGGGCCACAAUUGAAGUUACAGCUUAAUCCCAGAGUUUUAAUGUGCUCAACCUGCAGCUUGAACUAUGUGCAUUCUGUGUGUGUGUGGUCUUGAAAACUUGAAAAAAAAAUAAUAAUAUUUGCCCAUUUGUUGCUGUGGUGAUGAAGGAGUGUGGAACAAAAGAGAGGUAUUCCGGUUGCCCCGGGCCUGUGAACAAACAGAAUCAGAGAGAGUUGGUGAGAAUGUGCUGUUAGCUGUAACCAGAGAAGGCGGCAGUCAGCCACUGCUGCCUGCCUGCAAAGUCUUCAUAACCCCCUCUUUCAUGCUUGCCCUAGCAAAAUGGCAUCGUCUAAAGCUGGAUGACAAAGAACACCAACAGCUGGACUUGCAUUGUGCCAGACCAGACUUGGCCCAUAAAUCAAGCAAACUGAAAAUCUAGCCUCACUCCCUUCAAGGAACCCAGAGGAUGAUGCAACCUUCAGCUCAAGUCCAAGCUCACAGCUGAAGGAUGCUUAAGCACAGUGUUUUGGGAGCAGUGUUACAGCCCUCGCCAGCCAUCGGCCUGGCUGACCUUCUGAAUCAUUCAGACCAUCGUAAAAGCCUCAGGCAAAAGCGAUCGCUCUUGUUUUCUGCUUGUGAAACACAGGUUAGUCUCCUGAGAAUUAAAAUACUUCAGUUUAAUUGAAACCUUUAGGUUUAAUAUAUGGGCCUAUUUGCUAAAAUAUAAAGAUCUGAGGUGAGCAGAGGUCACGUGAGGUGAUCGCAUGGUGCAGUGUCUGGGGGGCCUGAGGGGUAAAAGCUGCCUUUGCUUUAGUAAAAGAUAGACAGAGGUGGAACGGGCUACAAAGGGCUUUGAAUGGAAGACAGACAGCAUGCAUUUGACACAAGAAAAACAAAGACAACAGACAGUUGGAAGGAUAAAGUUGGUGUGGCCAAAGGACACGGCUAGACAACCACUGCAGAACCAUUUUGAAUGGAUAUGAAUGGUAAGAUUGUAUUAGUCAAGUAAAAACGAAGAGAAAAUGAAAAGUUCUGUUUGAGUCACAAUGAGCUCAAUCUGCCAGUUAUCUAUUGGGGAUGGGAUUUCUGAGACACAGGCUACAAUUUCAGUUUGAGUAGAGGAGGCAGGUCUGGGAGUAUGAGUAGAAACGUCCCAUUUGAAUUGUCAUCUGCAAGGGAAAUUAUCUAGAAAUACAUGAUGUAGAAGAAAACCCAUAUACCUGAUGAUUAGCAUGCACAAAUUCACAUGAAGAAUCCAUAUUUAAAAUCUUAGGUAUAUAUCACUUUGCUCUGUGCUAAAUUCGUAUGAAAAUGUAUCCCUAAAUCCCUAGUUCGAUUUGGUGCUUAAAACAGCUCUUUAUUUAACCAUGAUAGAUUUAAGAAUGAGAUAAAGUGAAGUACUGUUUUGCGACCACUUUGUCUUCCAGUAAGGUUUCAUAUUUGGAAGUCUCAGGUCAAAGGCAUUAAGGCCUGUCACGAUGCCACCUACCUCUGUACAUCUUCCACCGCUCCUCGGCAAAUUUUGAGGUAGAAAAUAAGAAAACCAUACCUAUGCAAGUAUAAACAAUUCUUACACUAAGCAAGUGGUCAUCCAGCAUGUUUCUGAAGGACCGUGACUUUGUUACUUGCUGCCUUAGA
This is a non-coding RNA of Phasianus colchicus (ring-necked pheasant), 1746 nucleotides long. Lineage: Eukaryota; Metazoa; Chordata; Aves; Galliformes; Phasianidae. The record is from RefSeq and is a predicted model, not a curated record.